GAUGAACGCUGGCGGCGUGCCUAAUACAUGCAAGUCGAGCGAACAGAUGAGGAGCUUGCUCCUCUGACGUUAGCGGCGGACGGGUGAGUAAAACGUGGAUAACCUACCUAUAAGACUGGGAUAACUUCGGGAAACCGGAGCUAAUACCGGAUAAUAUAUUGAACCGCAUGGUUCAAUAGUGAAAGACGGUUUUGCUGUCACUUAUAGAUGGAUCCGCGCCGCAUUAGCUAGUUGGUAAGGUAACGGCUUACCAAGGCAACGAUGCGUAGCCGACCUGAGAGGGUGAACGGCCACACUGGAACUGAGACACGGUCCAGACUCUUACGGGAGGCAGAAGUAGGGAAUCUUCCGCAAUGGGCGAAAGCUUGACGGAGCAACGCCGCGUGAGUGAUGAAGGUCUUCGGAUCGUAAAACUCUGUUAUUAGGGAAGAACAAAUGUGUAAGUAACUAUGCACGUCUUGACGGUACCUAAUCAGAAAGCCACGGCUAACUACGUG
RNAcentral lists this ribosomal RNA (497 nucleotides) under uncultured bacterium. RNAcentral describes it as "partial 16S ribosomal RNA". It matches the Rfam family "Bacterial small subunit ribosomal RNA", at positions 28 to 507 of the family's 1533-position model. The record is from RNAcentral.